Long non-coding RNA from Papaver somniferum (opium poppy), 4474 nucleotides. RefSeq lists it as uncharacterized. Lineage: Eukaryota; Viridiplantae; Streptophyta; Magnoliopsida; Ranunculales; Papaveraceae. The transcript is spliced from 3 exons. The record is from RefSeq and is a predicted model, not a curated record.
CUUUUCUUAAUCGUUCUGAGUUUGUCAUUUAAAAUAUACUUUGAUAUUAUGUGUGCAUCGGUUACUUAUAUUGAUUGAUCGUUUGAUUGUGGAGCUUAGGCAUGGACAUUGCUCAAUGUUAUCUGGGGAUCUCAAUUUGCACAAUUUCUCUUUAACUGCAAGGGCUAUGGGGUGAGGUCCGGUGGACAAACAAGAACCCAACACUCAAGGUCUUAUUAUUUCACCUAGAUGGACGAUACUCUCUUGGUUAUUGGGUGGUGUAAUACAUCAGUAAUAAUUUCCGGGGUCUAUGACACCAGGUAAUUCGUUUUCAUAUUCACGUGCUAAUGGUGCCAAAGGAUAUCGUCAUUGCAAAUCCUAGGUGAGUCAAAAAUACCAAAGUGAAACAUUAGUGUUCAAUAAAACAGAUUUUUUAAUCUUCUAAAGACAGUGACGUGAUGAAUUUUGAUCUUUACAAGUGCUUCGGUAUCUUUUGUUGUUAGAUGGCAGAAAGAUUAUCCUUUUUAUGGUCAUUUUGGUUGAAGGACUUCUUUUGGAUUAAUCAGAUCUUAUUAUUCUUUGUGGGGAUGUGGAAAAUCAUAUUAGUUUGGCUUUUUCAGCACGGGAAUCCGGUGGGAGCAUUGGCUGCGGCUGAGACAGGUCGGAGACCGACAUAACUUCUCGCUGAGGAAAACGCAAAGAGAAAUUCGAUUUUGAGACAAUUGAAUGCUGUAUUGUCUAUUCUUAUUCCCGCGGAUGCAAGUUGCAGGUAUUAUUUCCACUAAUUCCAUUGAAAAUCCUACCGUGUUUUGGAAUACCAAACUUUAACAAUCUUUUUUGUUUGGGUUCAUUCUUAUUUAGAAAAGUUGGUGUUUUGUUUGUAUCUAUCUUGGAGGAUAUCCACAGUAAGAUUUAUGCAAUGCAGGUCGGUCAGUACUUGAGAAAUUUGAUUAGUAUUUAACUUAAAACUCACAAUUAGGUUGCGAUUUGGGCGAUUGUUUCACAACACUAUAGCCUAUAGGGACCUUUGGUGCCACUUGAUGGGAGUCUGUCUUCGUAGAUUUUAUUUGUAAGAAUGUAGUGUAUAUGAGCCUAUUUGUGAAUGCGUUUGGAAAUUCUGUCAAAAGUUGAUUUUUAUUUAUUAUGUGCCAUCCACUAGGUUGUUAGCAAUACGUUAAAUGGCUUCUAUCAUCUUGAUGUUUAGUGUAGUCUUACUGUUCUUAGUGUUUAGAUCUUAUUGUUCUUAGACAUGUAAUAGAUAUUCAAAUGAUUUGGUAACUCAGUGACUGGAAAUAUAAGGGUCAUAAAUUCUUCUUAAAAUAUUGCACUACCAAAGAUCAUUUUUAUAGACGUUUUAUUUUGCAUGUUAGGUAGCAAGUAGAUGGUCAGGUAUUACUAUCUUUUUAAGCUCUGUGAGCUCAGAACUUCGGUUUUUUUCGUACAAAUAAUCAUUUCAUUUAUUGGGUGCAAAAUGUAGGCAAUCCUUCAUUGCACCUUUCAAUAUUAGCACGUCUGCUUACAUCUUUUCUUCCAUCGAGCAGUAACUUAUAGUCACAUGCACAAUGUAAGAAUGAAUUUUUGUAUGGAAUUGUAGGAAAGAAUAUGAUCUCAAGUACCUGUUGGAUUCUUCUAUAAAUCUUUGUUGGUCUCAAAUGAAUCCUGAAUCAUAAGAUGUAUACCAUAUGCAUUGUUAUGUUGCUUUAUUAAAAGACAGAUUCGGGUUUAUUUUUUUAUGUGUUACGUAAAAAGUUUUAUGACGAGUUUUCAGUUUCUGCAGCACAUCUGAGUCCAGAUGAGUAUUAUAUAGAUUGUUUAGGGCUUAAUUAUGCAACGAAUUAGUGCGGCUAUUUAUGGUUAUUAUGCAGGUCAAAAUCUUCAUCGAAGUUGUAGGUACAUUUUCCUAAUCAAUCUGUGUUCCUUUCAUUAAUAAACUUAUGAGUGGUUUUUGUUGAUGUCUUAAUUUACUAUGUAGUUCGCAGUAGUUGGUGAACUAAAUAUCAAUGAUCUGUUUUCCUUUCAUUAAUAAACUUAUGAGUUGUAGUUCGCAGUAGUUGGUAAACGAAAAAUCAAUGACUACCGUGGUCAAUACCAUUGGAUGUGUUUCGGGAAAGCUAAAAUCGACACAGCUUUGAAAUGUAAUAUUUGUUCCUUCCUUUAGUUAUUUUAGGUCUCUGGGAAGUGAACUGUUUCCGUAAGUGAAUUUUCAACUUUAGCAGGAGUUUUUUGAUCUAUGAUCAAUCACAUUGUAUGAUGUUCAUGGACAACAGAUUGAUAUUCAGUUAGUGACAUUACUGGAAAUUUGAGUCUAGAGAGGGUAUAAAAUGGCAAGACCAUUUAAGAUCAGAACUUAGAGACGCUUCCACUGAAAGAAGAGAUUAAUUUUGAUAGUUUUGUUUGAUAAAUGUAUAACUGGAUUUUCCAAUCCAGACCAAUUUGUUUUUAUCGCUAAGUGGGGCCAUUGAGCCGUUUAAUGAUACUAAUUGACUAUUACUAAUAACAUAGUAGUUUACAUAAAGAGAAAAAGAGAGAGUAGUAAUGACAACAAUGAAAUGAGAUAUGAAUGGAUAUAUAUAGAUUAUAAGAUCGGAGCAUACUUUAAUUUAAGCAUGAGCAUAAGCAUAGAGCCAUAUCAUCAUAUGAUGAAUAGUGGGUUUUUACACUUCCUGCGACCAUGAUUAUAAGUGGUAUCCUUGGUUAUUUUGUUUCUAAAGACUCCUUGCGAUAAUAUAAGACACCAGAUGUAGACAUGGUCGGGUUUGUAUUCUCAAAAUUAUGGAGUUCUUUCUUUUUACUUUUUCGAGUUCAAUGUUAAAUUUCUUCUGGGCAUAUUUAUAGCACUGAUGUUGUGUCAUUUAUUUACCUUUGGAAUUACUAUGCCUUUGUUUUAGGUUAGGCUACAACGCAUCUUAUCUUCUUUAACCUUCUUUAAUGUAAGCAUAAGCAUAGAGACAUAUCAAAUGACAAAUGAUAUUGGAAUCAUGUAUGAUUAAUAGAUAAAGCAAUAUAGGGAAAUAUCGCUGAAGCUUUGUCUUUUCAGAAGUCAAAUGACCAAAGCUGGCCGAUUAUCUUCUGAUUGCCCUAUCAUGCAAUCAGAUUUUGAACUGAAGGAAUUGGAGGUGUGCAUUGUUAUCAUAUCCUUUUUUCUUCUUCGUUUGGCUUAUUUUCUGUUUAGAUGAAGAAGAGAAAAUUAAACAACGGUUGUACUCAGGGAAGAGAAAAGCAUUGAAUUGUUAUCCUAACAACUAUUGAUAAUCCUACUUAGGGUAUACUGAUCAAGUAUAUAAAAUUAUGUUUAUGAAGCAUGAAAGAGAACAUAGUGAAACGAAUGAAAAUAGUGAAAAACUGCGACAUACUUGCAAGAGCUUCUGGAUAAUAUUCCAGAAGGUGUAUAUUCUUUUACUGUUUGUUCUGCUUCAGGUUGUUGAAGAUAUUUUACUAUCAAUGCAAGUUUUCAAUGCAUAUUCUGUCGACAUAUAAAACAAAACAGGGUAUAUUAACUGCUUAAAUUUGUGGAGAUAUACUAACCUGAUGUCACAUUCCAGACAGAUAGAGGGAGGUGGUCAUCUUAGACAAAUGAUAUAAUUAGUAGCCCAGUUGCAUAUAUCCGAUACUACAAGGGUUGAUGCAGUUAAAGUAAGAUAAAUUAUCCAUAAAUAUUUGCACCGACUUUAUCUAAUUUAGUUUUGUGAAUCUGCUUUUGUCCGAUCUAUUUCGACUUUAUGGGGGUGACAUAUUCUUUUUUUCCAUGGUUUAUAUCAUAAUUUCUUUAGCAUCAAAGAUUCUGGCAUCUUUGUCAUAGUGAACGAGUUCAGUUCCACCAUAAAUGUAUGUAGCAUAAUUUCUAUAUUUGGCAUAUUCGCUUAUUAGGAAACUCGGGCGCUAACCUGAUUCCCAAAACAUGUUGAAGACUGCCAGCAGGAGACAUUAGGUUAGUUGCAUCUUUCUAAGAAAUCUUACAAACAAUUCUGAUGUACAUGAAGGUUACGGUUUUGUUAAGACCAGCUGAAGGGGUUGUUGUGUAUGAAUCAAUGUAUACUAUGGGUUUCACUAAGGAGCUAAAAGAUGGCUGGAGAGGAUGAUGGAGAUUCAGAAAGGGUAAGUAUAUACUUAUAAGAUCAUAAUGUUAUGGUUAAAUGUGUGUGUAUAUAAAAAGGGUGUCAGGUACAUUCUCUUCUUGUUGUCUUAGCUCAAAUGGCAGAUAUCAUAGUUAUUCGAGUAAACCAGAACCUUACAUGCUUUAGAUACCAGUAUAUAAUGGACAUAGGUGUAGAUGUAGAAAACCUUUUAUCUCUACACAUUGUUUUCUAUCUAACAUAUACCAAUAUUGUUUUCUCUGGAGGAGAAUAUGCUGAAAGUUGAUUGCCCCUGCGUCACACUUGAAGUUGCCCUUAUAUGCUUUAGAUACCGGUAUAUUCAGACAUCAUUAAUCGUUACAGUAUUAUGAGUUGAUUCUUUUUUUACCCAUUUUCUCAGUUGUACAACAAUCUAAUGCAAU